Molecule: transfer RNA, 64 nt
Filed under: Ascarosepion apama (giant Australian cuttlefish)
Lineage: Eukaryota; Metazoa; Mollusca; Cephalopoda; Sepiida; Sepiidae
Description: tRNA-Cys
Source: RNAcentral
AACUUUAUAGUUUAAUUGAAAAAUAUCAAGUUGCAAGCUUGAAGUUAUAAGUAUAUUAAAGUUU